RNAcentral lists this ribosomal RNA (347 nucleotides) under uncultured bacterium. RNAcentral's name for it is "partial 16S ribosomal RNA". It matches the Rfam family "Bacterial small subunit ribosomal RNA", at positions 338 to 682 of the family's 1533-position model. The record is from RNAcentral.
CCUACGGGUGGCAGCAGUGAGGAAUAUUGGUCAAUGGGCUUACGCCUGAACUAGCCAAGUCGCGUGAGGGAAGACUGCCCUAUGGGUUGUAAACCUCUUUUGUCAGGGAGCAACGCCGGCUACGUGUAGCCGGACGGAGAGAACCUGAAGAAAAAGCAGCGGCUAACGCAGUGCGAGCAGCCGCGGUAAUACGGAGGAUGCGAGGGUUAUCCGGAUUUAUGGGGUUUAAAGGGUGCGUAGGCGGAAUGCCAAGUCAGCGGUAAAAUCGCGGGGCUCAACCUCGCUCAGCCGUUGAAACGUGCGUUCUUGCGUGGGCGUGAAGUCUGCGGCAUGCGUGGUGUAGCGGU